This is a small nucleolar RNA of Rana temporaria (common frog), 64 nucleotides long. The record is from RefSeq and is a predicted model, not a curated record. Lineage: Eukaryota; Metazoa; Chordata; Amphibia; Anura; Ranidae.
CUGCAGUGAUGAGUCAACUAGCUCACUUUGAAAAAUAAUGAAACGCUUCGAACUCCUGAGCAGU